This is a non-coding RNA of Aedes albopictus (Asian tiger mosquito), 74 nucleotides long. The record is from Rfam. NCBI's taxonomy places the organism in Eukaryota, Metazoa, Arthropoda, Insecta, Diptera, Culicidae.
UGUGCUAUGGCUUAGUUGGUUAAAGCGCUGGCCUAGCGAAUACGGAAUCGUGGGUUCUAAUCCCACCAGGACGC